UCUAAUUGUCUUUUUGUUGCUGAUUUUAAGCUUAAUUCCAGUGUACUCAGUGAGCAUAUCCAUUUCAAUCUUUUGAAACUUGUUGACAGUUGCUUUAUGGCCUUCACAUAGGGUCAAUUUUUGUAAAUGUUCCAUCUGCACUUACAAAGAAUGCACUUGUAAAUAUGCAUUUGACGUUGUUGGAAGCUAUGUUCACUGUAUAUCAAUUAAUUCAAAUUUGGUAAUCAUCUUGUUCAAAUCUUCUGUAUCCUUCCUGGGUAUUUUUCUGCUUGAUCCUUCAGUAACUGAGAGAGGUGUGUAAAAAAUCUCCCACCUAUGUGAUUGUGAAUUUUGUAUUUCUCCUUUUAGUUCUAUAAUUUUUCCUUUGUUUACUUUGUGGUGAUAUUAUUAGAUUCAUUCAACUUUAGAAUUGUUUUAGCUUCCUGGUUAACUGAACCUUGUAUCAUUAUGAAGUAUCACUAACUCUAGUAACUUUUUUUUGCCUUAAAAUCUCUUUCAUUUGAUAUAAAUAUAGCUACCCCAACUUUCUUUGUACAGUAUUUUUUAUCAUUUUUUCUUCCAGUCUUUCUAUAUACUUAUAUUUAAAGCUUGUUUCUUGUAAGCAGAAUGUAGUUAGGUUUUGUUCUAUUUGCUCUGACAAUAUUUUAAGUAGACUGUUUAACCCUUCUAUAUUUAUUGUAAUUACUGUUAUAUUGGGUUUUAAUCUACCAUCUUAUUUGCUUUAUACUUGGCCUGCCUGUACUAUGAUCCUUUCUCACUUCCUUUUGGAGUGAUUCAAAAUUUUUAUCGUGCCAUUUGACUCACUCUUUUGAGAGUCAUACACUUUUGUGUUUCUGCCUUUUUUCCCCCCAAUAGUUGCAACAUGUACUUUGACUUAUCAAAGUCAGAUACAGAUAAAUACUUCUGCCACUUCUUGGAUAAUGCAAGGAACUUGGACUGCUUUAACUCUUUCUACUGCCCUACUCUAACAUAUGCUAUUAUUGUCAGAUAUUUUAAUUCACUAUACAUUUAAAAUCCCACAAGAUAUCAUUGUUGUUGUAUAUGUAGUCAAUGCUUAUUUACACUCACACACAUAUUUACCUUUUCUAUUGCUUUCCAUUCCUUCCUGUGUCUCCUAGAUUACAUGUAAGCUUAUUUUCCUUCUGCCUGAAGAACACUCUGGUAUUUCCUUUGGCACAGGUCAGCUUGUGAUGAGAUUUAUAAAAUUUUGUUCUUCUAAAAGUGUCUUUAUUUCCUCUUUAUUUUGGAAGGACAUUUGUGCUUCCACAGACUUCUGCCUGCUAGUUAUUCCUUCAGAGCUCUGAAGAUACCAUCUCAUUGUCUCCUGACUUCCAUUGUUCCACUUGAGAAGUCAGUUGUCAGUCUUUUGCAUCUUUUCUCUCUGCUUGCUUUUAAGAGUUUAUCUUUGUUGUUUGCUCUUCAACAUAAAGUCAAUUUCCCCAAAAGGGAUGAGAAGAAAUCUGAGAGGUACGUAGGCAGGGAUGCUUCUGUGCCUCAGAUCCAAAGAUCUCCUUCAUAUAGGCCAAGGGAAACCCCAAGAGACAGUCACCAUAUACCUGGGAGCCCUAGGGUGGUGGCCACCAAAACUUGGGGUCUUCUCCAAGGAAGGUCUUGGGUCUGACCACUGAAGAUCAGGAUAAUAACUCCAGGUUAGGGUAGAAGAUAAUGGAAAGAAGGAAGGGACAGGGAGAGAAGACCCUACCUGAGCCAUUUACAACCAACCACAGUGAUGAAGUUAGGAUCUUGAAGCCUAAACUCUACAGCCAAUGAAUGGAGUUGCACACAGCACUAGAAAUUCAUUUCCAUGGGGGCAGUUGUUUUAUUCAUUGCUGAAUCCCCAAAACCUCGAAGAGUGCCUAGUAUGUAGCAAGCACUCAGUAAAUGUUUUUCAAAUGAAUUAAAAUGGAAUGAAUCCUGGGUUCUGCCUCAGUGGGCUCCUCUCCCUACCCCACCAGGUAGGUGAUGUGUUUGCCAGCAACACUUCUCCAUCCCCCAGUGAAUUCCCAAGCCCCUUAAUCAAAACCCUCUAACUGUGUGAUCAGUGUUUCUGAAUCCUCCCUGGUAACCCUCUACCCAGCCCUUAUGACACGUGCUAAGAGAGAAUUCAGUAGCCUUCAAUUUCACCUCAUAUCUGGCCUUUGGGUGAGUAUGUUACAGCAACACAUGUGGGCAUAUGUACAGAUAGCUGGUAGUGAAUGGCAUACAGUAAUUAGUUAGAAGAUUUUUUAUUGUAAAAUAGAGGAAAACCCUUUGAUAUGAUAUUCAGAGGUUGUGCCCUUCCUGUCAAAAUCUAAGGCUGCUAGUAGAAUUGCACCUACCACAGUGGUGGCAGAAAGAAGGCUCUUGACACAGCUGGCUUAUUUAGCAGAAUGUCCCCUGGCUGAGAGACCCACCCAUUGUUUCCAGUCUCCAGACAAGCCUGUGGUAUGGCAAACAGCAAAGAAAUAGAGCUAUGAAAAUACGCCUGCUGAACUCUGUAUUCUAAAUCUAAACCUGGGAAAUCAGAGAAGCUAAGAGUUCCUAGGCUGUAUGCCCUAAGAAGAAAAUGAGAGCUGGCAUGGAACCACGGGGGACUCAAAAUGGUUUGGAUCAAGAGGAGGAACAGAAGACAGGGCAGAACCUGAACACUGCCAGAAACCUGGGCUACAACAUGGCCUGGAACAUUCCUUCCUCAAUCCCCUGUUGAGGAGGAAUUGGUAGUUAACACCAGACACAACCUUCUAUUGUCUGAGAUUGCUGUGGCUAUGGCUGUACCUAACCGUUUAGAAAAACAUACGUCAUUCAUCUGUACUAAGGUUAGGUUCUUCCCAACAAACUCCUUGGCUGCCAUUACCGAGUUCUGGAUAAAGACCUCCCUCAGACACGGUUGAGGAGACGUAGAUGAACAAGUGGGCCAACCUAAGCAUCUUGGGUGAAGACCCUGGGUCUGGAGUGGGAAGGCACAUCAACAGCCACCACCUCACAGCAGAGGGCCAGAACCAGGCCUGCCUGCUCCUAUCCGGGGUCGCCUGGCUGUCCCACACAACAUGUGCACUGUGGGUUUGUUUCCUCUCUGAAACUGGUCUUUCCCUGUUUUUAGACAAGGAUAAACACACCCUGAAAACUCAUCUGCUGAUUUUUAGAGGGGAAAAAAGAGAUUUACAAGAUUCUGAACUCCAUUUUGCAAAUAGCCAGAAAGGUGUCAGUUGAAAUGAAUAAAUAUUUCUGGCGAAGAGGACAGGGUACGUUUCUCUGGCAUGUCCAGAUGGUUGCUCGGUGCUCUCAGGCAGUGAUAGCCUAGCCUGACAGAGUUGGGCUGAGAUCAGAGCCCCACAUUUCAAAGCACUACCAGCAUUGGCCUCUGAACAGAUGACAAGCGCCGGCCAGGAUGCUCCUGGUGGCCCUUGCAGGGCAGUGAGGACUCUGGAAGGCCCCAGCCAAAUCCAGGCCUCCAGCAACAUCCUCUCCUCUUGGCCUCAGAGAGCAGAAGGGCAGCCGAGGGGAAGCAGAAAAGAGCUUUUGGUUUUUCUGCAACUGCUUUGAUUUUUUGUUUUUCAAGAAGAAAACACUCAGCCCGAAUCCCAGGGGAAGCGGGGAGGAUAGAAGCGAAGGCUAUUUCUGAGCCUGCUGCCUCCCCAAAAGGAAGGGUGUGAACAGUGCAGAGAGAGUCCAGCCCUCGCUUCCUGGAAUUGAGCCUGUGGGCAGCCUUUUGCAGUUUGCAACUAUUCUUCAAGCACAUUCUCUCAUUUUUGGUCCUCACAGGAAUCCUGGUGGAUGAGAGUGGACAGGGGUGUUAUCCCCGCAUUACUAGUGAGCAAGCAGAGGCUCAGAGGCAUUAACUACCUUCCGAGGAAGAGACAGUGUUCGGCUCCUAAGGCAGGUCCUCUGAUUCCGGACCUCCUGCCUUAUCCACCCUCUCCACGCGCCUCCCUGGGCUUCACCCUUUCCACACUCCUGUGCCCAGGCAGAGUCUCUGCAGGCCAGCAUUAUGGAAAAGACCCAGCUUAGAGUGAAACGCACCAACAUCCUGUCCCAGCUCUGCCGCCAUCUGGCUGGGUGGCCUUGGACACAUCCCUGAUCUCUCUGGGCCUCUGUUUCUUCAUUUGCAAGUGUUGAUAACAGUCCUUUUCUUGACUACCUUUAUCAAUUGAUGGGAGGAUCAAAUAAGGUACCAUAUGUGAAAUGACUUUGAAAAUUCCAGCAUAUUCUACCAAAUAUCGGGGCUGACUAGUAUUACCUUCACGGUGGGAGUGAGCAAAAAGGCUCCCGGCAUCAGGCUGUUCCCCUCCUCUCCCUUCCACUGACAAUCCAGCCUCUAGUGAGUCUUUUCUCUUUAUCAAAGGGAAGAUCCUCCAGGAAGGGCUAUGUUUCUAACUAACCAUGAUCAGUCAUGAGUUCCUCAGAGUAAAUGAGUUGAUCAGCCAUCCAGGGCUCAGGGGAAAGCCACAGCAGAGGGUGUCCAGCGCCUAAAUUAAUAAAAACCACAUGACAUCUCACAAAAGAGAUGGUCAAAAUGGUGUCUCCAGGUGCAGGGAGCUUUCCUUUCAGUUCUGCACCCUGAGGGUUCUGAGAAUGGGGCCAACUCACAAUAGGGAAGAAUUCUCUUCCUCCUCAACACCCGCUGACUCACCCAUCCCAUACAGAGAUGCCCAGGCCUCAGCCAGGGCAGGAAGUGUUCCUGGGACCAGGGCCCUCCUCCUUGACCACCCCACCCCCAACAAGGACACCUUAUGGGGGCAGGGCAAUAUGUGACCACUCAGAUCCCACCCUUGCACAAGGGCCCACGUAGGAGGAAGGAGACCCAGCGUGUCCCCCAGGUGCUCCCAUUCCUCUCCUCCAUCCGCCCAGGGACACAAGCCAGACUGAUUCGUCCAUGUGCCCACUCUGGGCUGCGCCCUCUUCUGCUGCAACUGUAGGGAGCAGCCAACGCCAGCGAGAGACGAAAGCAGAGUUGGUCUCCCCGCUGGGUCCCUCUCACUGCCCCUCUGUGUGCCCUCAUCCCACCUCUGAGAACCUCUCCCCAUGUUCCAAAGUCCCCAGUCCCUCCCUGCAGCCCUGGCUCUGGUGGUCACAAGGGACAGCUUCAGAUGGGACCUUCCCGACAUUGGUGUGAGGCCCAAAGGCAUGGGGUCCCACUGGUGGAACAGUGUGCACCGCGGAAGGGAGCUGAGGAUGCGCUGUCGCUAGGAGCCAGAGUCACUCACACCACAGCUUCCAUCCUCCGUGAUCUGGUCUGCACAAGCACUCCAUCCUGCAGUUAGUCCAGCCCUGCAAACGGAGCCCGAGUCAGGACGGACCCAACCUGGCCUUUCAGGACCCGGCCUCUGCAGCAAAGAACUGUCUCCAGCGACCAUCCCCAGUAGAAAAGUGGUUUUUGCUUCGAUCCAUCACAAAGCACCACUGCCAUCUGGUGGCAGGAUCUUGAAUUGCAAGCAAAUUCCCCAAGAUUAAAUACGCUCUAGG
This is a long non-coding RNA of Equus caballus (horse), 5442 nucleotides long. RefSeq lists it as uncharacterized. The record is from RefSeq and is a predicted model, not a curated record. Lineage: Eukaryota; Metazoa; Chordata; Mammalia; Perissodactyla; Equidae.